CCUACGGGGUGCAGCAGUGGGGAAUAUUGGACAAUGGGGGGAACCCUGAUCCAGCGACGCCGCGUGAGUGAAGAAGUAUUUCGGUAUGUAAAGCUCUAUCAGCAGGGAAGAAAGAAAUGACGGUACCUGACUAAGAAGCCCCGGCUAACUACGUGCCAGCAGCCGCGGGAAUACGUAGGGGGCAAGCGUUAUCCGGAUUUACUGGGUGUAAAGGGAGCGUAGACGGCGAUGCAAGUCUGAAGUGAAAGGCGGGGGCCCAACCCCCGGACUGCUUUGGAAACUGUAUGGCUGGAGUGCAGGAGAGGUAAGUGGAAUGCCUAGUGUAGCGGUGAAAUGCGUAGAGAUUAGGCGGAACACCAGUGGCGAAGGCGGCUUACUGGACUGUAACUGACGUUGAGGCUCGAAAGCGUGGGGAGCAAACAGGAUUAGAUACCCCAGUAGUC
This 443-nucleotide ribosomal RNA is filed under the name uncultured bacterium. RNAcentral's name for it is "partial 16S ribosomal RNA". It matches the Rfam family "Bacterial small subunit ribosomal RNA", at positions 338 to 795 of the family's 1533-position model. The record is from RNAcentral.